UGGGGAAUAUUGGACAAUGGGCGAAAGCCUGAUCCAGCAAUGCCGCGUGAGUGAUGACGGCCUUAGGGUUGUAAAGCUCUUUCAGUAGGGAAGAUAAUGACGGUACCUACAGAAGAAGCACCGGCUAACUCCGUGCCAGCAGCCGCGGUAAUACGGAGGGUGCUAGCGUUGUUCGGAAUUACUGGGCGUAAAGCGCGCGUAGGCGGCUUCGCAAGUUGGAAGUGAAAUCCCAGGGCUUAACCCUGGAACUGCUUCCAAAACUGCAAAGCUAGAGUUCGGUAGGGGACAGUGGAAUUCCUAGUGUAGAGGUGAAAUUCGUAGAUAUUAGGAGGAACACCAGAGGCGAAAGCGACUGUCUGGACCGAUACUGACGCUAAGGCGCGAAAGCGUGGGGAGCAAACAGG
RNAcentral lists this ribosomal RNA (404 nucleotides) under uncultured bacterium. Its description in RNAcentral is "bacterial SSU rRNA". It matches the Rfam family "Bacterial small subunit ribosomal RNA", at positions 355 to 776 of the family's 1533-position model. The record is from RNAcentral.